RNAcentral lists this ribosomal RNA (497 nucleotides) under uncultured bacterium. Its description in RNAcentral is "partial 16S ribosomal RNA". It matches the Rfam family "Bacterial small subunit ribosomal RNA", at positions 28 to 507 of the family's 1533-position model. The record is from RNAcentral.
GAUGAACGCUGGCGGCGUGCCUAAUACAUGCAAGUCGAGCGAACAGACGAUGAGCUUGCUCCUCUGACGUUAGCGGCGGACGGGUGAGUAACACGUGGAUAACCUACCUAUAAGACUGGGAUAACUUCGGGAAACCGGAGCUAAUACCGGAUAAUAUAUUUAACCGCAUGGUUCAAUAGUGAAAGACGGUUUUGCUGUCACUUAUAGAUGGAUCCGCGCCGCAUUAGCUAGUUGGUAAGGUAACGGCUUACCAAGGCAACGAUGCGUAGCCGACCUGAGAGGGUGAUCGGCCACACUGGAACUGAGACACGGUCCAGACUCCUACGGGAGGCAGCAGUAGGGAAUCUUGCGCAAUGGGCGAAAGCCUGACGGAGCAACGCCGCGUGAGUGAUGAAGGUCUUCGGAUCGUAAAACUCUGUUAUUAGGGAAGAACAAAUGUGUAAGUAACUAUGCACGUCUUGACGGUACCUAAUCAGAAAGCCACGGCUAACUACGUG